UUAUUUGAAUUUCAAACAACAGACCAACCAUAGCUCAAUGUUUCUCAAGAGUAUCCUGUGGAGCACAGUGCGUGAACGCCCAGAAGAAAGCAGUCUGUGGUCAGGUGGGUUUCUGUGCCAUUUGCUGCCACCUUCCCUGCAAACAGUGAUUUACAGCACACAUUGUUCUUGUGUCUGUUCUGCAGUGAUAAAACCCAUUUAACUCAGUGGUUCCCAAAUGUACUGACCGUGGAACUGUUUUACUCAGGGGACACUGUUAACAUCCUGUAGAAGCACAGUAGCAGGUAUCCAGCCUGCAUACGAUAAGACAACCAGAACCAAAUUUGGCAGGUACAUGUCUGGAACUCUGUUUCAUUAUGCCGUAAAAUAAAACUACGAAUUUCAUUCAACAAAUCUGUACUGAAUAAGUAGGCUUCACUCUUGGGAUGUCAACUUUUAAAACUUACUUAAUAUCAGCUAUCGUUAUAUAAUCUUUGUUCAUAAUGACGCUGUCUGGUUGAACACAAACUGGCUGGGUGUUAAAUUCCACUUGUGUUUAUGAUAUUUAAUAAUGUCCUAAGAAGGCAGCCAGUAGAACCUUGGCUACUGUUUUUCAAAAGUGGCUCUGCAUUGCUCCUACAUAACCCCGUACAUUACUCCACAGUCCUGUUAGAGCCCUGAAAGGGAAACUGCUAAAAAUAAGGUUCUUCAUUUAGGUGACUAGGAACUCCCAAUAUUUUUGCCCUAGGGAAUACUGGGAGACAAAUCUCUACGAUCACAAAUUACUAAUGGUUUCCCCAGAACUGCUGGUGGCCAUAUCCCCUGGCAUGUGGAAGGGCCCAGAAGAGGCCACUCUACUGCAGAGGCCAACAGAAGAGUGUUGCCCAGGCUGGUCUCAAACUUCUGGGCUCAAGCAACCCUCCAGCCUCGGCCUCCCAAAGUGUUGGGAUCAUAGGCAUGAGACACCGUGCCUGGCGAAGAUAUUUUUACCGAAAAGGACAGAGGGUGUACUUGGAGGCACAUACCAAAGAAAUGCCAUGUGAGAACAAGCAAGAAGGUGGCCAUCUGUAAACCAGGAAGAGUGUCCUCACCAGAAAAUGAAGUGGCUUCAACUUUGAUCUCAGAAUUCCAGCCUCCAUAACUGUGAGAAAAUACAUUUCUGUUCUUUCAGCCAGUCUAUGGCAUUACAUUAUAGCAACCCAAGCAAACUAAGGCAUGCCCAGAAAUGACUACAGGGGUAAAAAUGAGCAGAUAAUUGGUUUUUAGUGUCCUGAAGUUUAUCUGCUUUUCCUUAUGUACUUAUAUCGUUGCCACUGCCACCAGGCUACUCUUCCUUCUUGUCUGCUCCCAAACAGG
Molecule: long non-coding RNA, 1335 nt
Filed under: Homo sapiens (human)
Lineage: Eukaryota; Metazoa; Chordata; Mammalia; Primates; Hominidae
Description: HSALNT0351598
Source: RNAcentral